GAAUUUUAUAUUAAAAUAUUUUAGGUUAGUUUAAUUUAAAUAUAUAUAGUAUUUAGUUGGGAGGAUUAUUAAAUUUAAAAAACUUUAAUAUUUAAUUACAUAGAUUAAUGAAUUAUAUAAAUAAAGAUUGAUUUUAAAAUGAAUAAAGAGUAAAUUACCUUAGGGAUAACAGCGUAAUAUUUUUAGAGAGAUCAUAUUAAUAAAAAUUAUUGC
RNAcentral lists this ribosomal RNA (213 nucleotides) under Apterostigma pilosum. RNAcentral describes it as "partial large subunit ribosomal RNA". Lineage: Eukaryota; Metazoa; Arthropoda; Insecta; Hymenoptera; Formicidae. The record is from RNAcentral.